This 374-nucleotide ribosomal RNA is filed under the name uncultured Flavobacteriaceae bacterium. Its description in RNAcentral is "bacterial SSU rRNA". It matches the Rfam family "Bacterial small subunit ribosomal RNA", at positions 103 to 476 of the family's 1533-position model. The record is from RNAcentral. Lineage: Bacteria; Pseudomonadati; Bacteroidota; Flavobacteriia; Flavobacteriales; Flavobacteriaceae.
CGGGUGCGUAACGCGUAUGCAACUUACCUUUUACUAGAGAAUAGCCAAGAGAAAUUUUGAUUAAUGCUCUAUACUCUUUUUAACUCACAUGAGUUUUUAAGAAAAGCUCCGGCGGUAAAAGAUGGGCAUGCGUCCUAUUAGCUUGUAGGUGAGGUAACGGCUCACCUAAGCUCCGAUAGGUAGGGGUCCUGAGAGGGAGAUCCCCCACACUGGUACUGAGACACGGACCAGACUUCUACGGAAGGCAGCAGUAAGGAAUAUUGGACAAUGGAGGAAACUCUGAUCCAGCGAUGCCGCGUGAAGGAAGACGGCCCUAUGGGUUGUAAACUUCUUUUAUACAGGAAGAAACCUUUCCACGUGGGAAAGCUGACGGU